UACAGAGGUCUCAAGCGUUGUUCGGAUUCAUUGGGCGUAAAGGGUGCGUAGGCGGCGGGGCCAGUCUGAUGUGAAAUCCCAGGGCUCAACCCUGGAACUGCAUUGGAUACUGCCUUGCUAGAGUACUGGAGAGGGAACUGGAAUUUACGGUGUAGCAGUGAAAUGCGUAGAGAUCGUAAGGAAGGCCAGUGGCGAAGGCGAGUUCCUGGACAGUGACUGACGCUGAGGCACGAAGGCCAGGGGAGCAAACGGG
Molecule: ribosomal RNA, 253 nt
Filed under: uncultured bacterium
Lineage: Bacteria
Description: partial 16S ribosomal RNA
Rfam family: Bacterial small subunit ribosomal RNA
Source: RNAcentral